UUAAGUUAUUAAGGGCGCACGGUGGAUGCCUUGGCACUAGAAGCCGAUGAAGGACGUUACUAACGACGAUAUGCUUUGGGGAGCUGUAAGUAAGCUUUGAUCCAGAGAUUUCCGAAUGGGGAAACCCAGCAUGAGUUAUGUCAUGUUAUCGAUAUGUGAAUACAUAGCAUAUCAGAAGGCACACCCGGAGAACUGAAACAUCUUAGUACCCGGAGGAAGAGAAAGAAAAUUCGAUUCCCUUAGUAGCGGCGAGCGAAACGGGAAGAGCCCAAACCAACAAGCUUGCUUGUUGGGGUUGUAGGACACUCUAUACGGAGUUACAAAGGACGACAUUAGACGAAUCAUCUGGAAAGAUGAAUCAAAGAAGGUAAUAAUCCUGUAGUCGAAAAUGUUGUCUCUCUUGAGUGGAUCCUGAGUACGACGGAGCACGUGAAAUUCCGUCGGAAUCUGGGAGGACCAUCUCCUAAGGCUAAAUACUCUCUAGUGACCGAUAGUGAACCAGUACCGUGAGGGAAAGGUGAAAAGCACCCCGGAAGGGGAGUGAAAUAGAACCUGAAACCGUGUGCUUACAAGUAGUCAGAGCCCGUUAAUGGGUGAUGGCGUGCCUUUUGUAGAAUGAACCGGCGAGUUACGAUUUGAUGCAAGGUUAAGCAGUAAAUGUGGAGCCGUAGCGAAAGCGAGUCUGAAUAGGGCGUUUAGUAUUUGGUCGUAGACCCGAAACCAGGUGAUCUACCCUUGGUCAGGUUGAAGUUCAGGUAACACUGAAUGGAGGACCGAACCGACUUACGUUGAAAAGUGAGCGGAUGAACUGAGGGUAGCGGAGAAAUUCCAAUCGAACCUGGAGAUAGCUGGUUCUCUCCGAAAUAGCUUUAGGGCUAGCCUCAAGUGAUGAUUAUUGGAGGUAGAGCACUGUUUGGACGAGGGGCCCCUCUCGGGUUACCGAAUUCAGACAAACUCCGAAUGCCAAUUAAUUUAACUUGGGAGUCAGAACAUGGGUGAUAAGGUCCGUGUUCGAAAGGGAAACAGCCCAGACCACCAGCUAAGGUCCCAAAAUAUAUGUUAAGUGGAAAAGGAUGUGGCGUUGCCCAGACAACUAGGAUGUUGGCUUAGAAGCAGCCAUCAUUUAAAGAGUGCGUAAUAGCUCACUAGUCGAGUGACACUGCGCCGAAAAUGUACCGGGGCUAAACAUAUUACCGAAGCUGUGGAUUGUCCUUUGGACAAUGGUAGGAGAGCGUUCUAAGGGCGUUGAAGCAUGAUCGUAAGGACAUGUGGAGCGCUUAGAAGUGAGAAUGCCGGUGUGAGUAGCGAAAGACGGGUGAGAAUCCCGUCCACCGAUUGACUAAGGUUUCCAGAGGAAGGCUCGUCCGCUCUGGGUUAGUCGGGUCCUAAGCUGAGGCCGACAGGCGUAGGCGAUGGAUAACAGGUUGAUAUUCCUGUACCACCUAUAAUCGUUUUAAUCGAUGGGGGGACGCAGUAGGAUAGGCGAAGCGUGCGAUUGGAUUGCACGUCUAAGCAGUAAGGCUGAGUAUUAGGCAAAUCCGGUACUCGUUAAGGCUGAGCUGUGAUGGGGAGAAGACAUUGUGUCUUCGAGUCGUUGAUUUCACACUGCCGAGAAAAGCCUCUAGAUAGAAAAUAGGUGCCCGUACCGCAAACCGACACAGGUAGUCAAGAUGAGAAUUCUAAGGUGAGCGAGCGAACUCUCGUUAAGGAACUCGGCAAAAUGACCCCGUAACUUCGGGAGAAGGGGUGCUCUUUAGGGUUAACGCCCAGAAGAGCCGCAGUGAAUAGGCCCAAGCGACUGUUUAUCAAAAACACAGGUCUCUGCUAAACCGUAAGGUGAUGUAUAGGGGCUGACGCCUGCCCGGUGCUGGAAGGUUAAGAGGAGUGGUUAGCUUCUGCGAAGCUACGAAUCGAAGCCCCAGUAAACGGCGGCCGUAACUAUAACGGUCCUAAGGUAGCGAAAUUCCUUGUCGGGUAAGUUCCGACCCGCACGAAAGGCGUAACGAUUUGGGCACUGUCUCAACGAGAGACUCGGUGAAAUCAUAGUACCUGUGAAGAUGCAGGUUACCCGCGACAGGACGGAAAGACCCCGUGGAGCUUUACUGUAGCCUGAUAUUGAAAUUCGGCACAGCUUGUACAGGAUAGGUAGGAGCCUUUGAAACGUGAGCGCUAGCUUACGUGGAGGCGCUGGUGGGAUACUACCCUAGCUGUGUUGGCUUUCUAACCCGCACCACUUAUCGUGGUGGGAGACAGUGUCAGGCGGGCAGUUUGACUGGGGCGGUCGCCUCCUAAAAGGUAACGGAGGCGCUCAAAGGUUCCCUCAGAAUGGUUGGAAAUCAUUCAUAGAGUGCAAAGGCAUAAGGGAGCUUGACUGCGAGACCUACAAGUCGAGCAGGGUCGAAAGACGGACUUAGUGAUCCGGUGGUUCCGCAUGGAAGGGCCAUCGCUCAACGGAUAAAAGCUACCCCGGGGAUAACAGGCUUAUCUCCCCCAAGAGUUCACAUCGACGGGGAGGUUUGGCACCUCGAUGUCGGCUCAUCGCAUCCUGGGGCUGUAGUCGGUCCCAAGGGUUGGGCUGUUCGCCCAUUAAAGCGGUACGCGAGCUGGGUUCAGAACGUCGUGAGACAGUUCGGUCCCUAUCCGUCGUGGGCGUAGGAAAUUUGAGAGGAGCUGUCCUUAGUACGAGAGGACCGGGAUGGACAUACCUCUGGUGUACCAGUUGUCGUGCCAACGGCAUAGCUGGGUAGCUAUGUGUGGACGGGAUAAGUGCUGAAAGCAUCUAAGCAUGAAGCCCCCCUCAAGAUGAGAUUUCCCAACUUCGGUUAUAAGAUCCCUCAAAGAUGAUGAGGUUAAUAGGUUCGAGGUGGAAGCAUGGUGACAUGUGGAGCUGACGAAUACUAAUCGAUCGAAGACUUAAUCAA
This 2921-nucleotide ribosomal RNA is filed under the name Staphylococcus aureus AMMC6068. RNAcentral's name for it is "bacterial LSU rRNA". It matches the Rfam family "Bacterial large subunit ribosomal RNA". Lineage: Bacteria; Bacillati; Bacillota; Bacilli; Caryophanales; Staphylococcaceae. RNAcentral also lists the same sequence under 9 other names. The record is from RNAcentral.